Molecule: unclassified non-coding RNA, 391 nt
Filed under: soil metagenome
Description: partial contains 5.8S ribosomal RNA, internal transcribed spacer 2, and large subunit ribosomal RNA
Rfam family: 5.8S ribosomal RNA (bases 1-122)
Source: RNAcentral
GAUGAAGAACGUAGCGAAAUGCGAUACUUGGUGUGAAUUGCAGAAUCCCGUGAACCAUCGAGUCUUUGAACGCAAGUUGCGCCCGAAGCCAUUAGGCCGAGGGCACGCCUGCCUGGGCGUCACACGUCGUUGCCCCCCCAUCUACUCCUUCGGGAUUGCGGGGGGCGGAUGAUGGCCUCCCGUGCGCCUCACCGCGCGGUUGGCAUAAAUGCCAAGUCCUCGUCGACGCACGCCACGACAAUCGGUGGUUGCGAAACCUCGGUUGCCCGUCGUGUGCGGUCGUCGCGCAUCGAGGGCUCGAAAAAAUUGCCGGGUUCCGGCUCGGCUUUCAACGCGACCCCAGGUCAGGCGGGGUUACCCGCUGAAUUUAAGAAUAUCAAUAAGCGGAGGA